This 397-nucleotide unclassified non-coding RNA is filed under the name Hevea brasiliensis (rubber tree). The record is from RNAcentral. Lineage: Eukaryota; Viridiplantae; Streptophyta; Magnoliopsida; Malpighiales; Euphorbiaceae.
ACUUUUUGUUCUUCAAUUUCAAGCUACUGUUGUUCUUCUUCUUGUUGCUGCCUUGCCUUUUCAAGAUUUAUUGCCUUUAGAUUUUCAAUACUUGUUAUUAUAUCCAACUGUUCUCUCAAUUGAAUCAAUUGUGCUUCUUUCCAUGCUUCAAAACAUUCAACUUCUUCAUCCUUAACUUCUUGGUUAGCCUGUUGACCAUGAUACUUAUUCUUACAUUCUUCAAGUGCUCUCUCCCUAUAUUGUAAGAUUAUUUGCAUAUUUUGAUACUCAUCAAAUAAACUGUAAGGAGCAAAAUGAGGACCACCAUGUAAAUAUAUCAAAUAAGAUAUUUCAUCAAGCUGUUCAUAAUAGUUUUCGAUUUUAGCUUAUAUUCUUUGAAUUGUAUCCCAUAACUCAU